Molecule: ribosomal RNA, 424 nt
Filed under: uncultured prokaryote
Description: bacterial SSU rRNA
Rfam family: Bacterial small subunit ribosomal RNA
Source: RNAcentral
UCGGGAAUAUUGGACAAUGGGCGCAAGCCUGAUCCAGCCAUGCCGCGUGAGUGACGAAGGCCUUAGGGUUGUAAAGCUCUUUCGCACGCGACGAUGAUGACGGUAGCGUGAGAAGAAGCCCCGGCUAACUUCGUGCCAGCAGCCGCGGUAAUACGAAGGGGGCAAGCGUUGUUCGGAAUUACUGGGCGUAAAGGGCGCGUAGGCGGCCGGUCAAGUCAGGCGUGAAAGCCCCGGGCUCAACCUGGGAACUGCGCUUGAGACUGAUCGGCUCGAGUUCGGGAGAGGCGAGUGGAAUUCCCAGUGUAGAGGUGAAAUUCGUAGAUAUUGGGAAGAACACCAGUGGCGAAGGCGGCUCGCUGGACCGACACUGACGCUGAGGCGCGAAAGCGUGGGGAGCAAACAGGAUUAGAUACCCCCGUAGUCC